RNAcentral lists this ribosomal RNA (465 nucleotides) under Vreelandella stevensii. RNAcentral describes it as "partial 16S ribosomal RNA". It matches the Rfam family "Bacterial small subunit ribosomal RNA", at positions 338 to 795 of the family's 1533-position model. The record is from RNAcentral. Lineage: Bacteria; Pseudomonadati; Pseudomonadota; Gammaproteobacteria; Oceanospirillales; Halomonadaceae.
CCUACGGGGGGCUGCAGUGGGGAAUAUUGGACAAUGGGGGGAACCCUGAUCCAGCCAUGCCGCGUGUGUGAAGAAGGCCCUCGGGUUGUAAAGCACUUUCAGUGAGGAAGAACGCCUGGUGGUUAAUACCCAUCAGGAAAGACAUCACUCACAGAAGAAGCACCGGCUAACUCCGUGCCAGCAGCCGCGGUAAUACGGAGGGUGCGAGCGUUAAUCGGAAUUACUGGGCGUAAAGCGCGCGUAGGUGGCUUGAUAAGCCGGUUGUGAAAGCCCCGGGCUCAACCUGGGAACGGCAUCCGGAACUGUCAAGCUAGAGUGCAGGAGAGGAAGGUAGAAUUGCCGGUGUAGCGGUGAAAUGCGUAGAGAUCGGGAGGAAUACCAGUGGCGAAGGCGGCCUUCUGGACUGACACUGACACUGAGGUGCGAAAGCGUGGGUAGCAAACAGGAUUAGAUACCCGAGUAGUC